AAUCUUCGGCAAUGGGCGAAAGCCUGACCGAGCAACGCCGCGUGAAUGAUGAAGGCCNNNGGGUUNUCAAAUUCUGUUAUAAGNGACNAACGACUUUAGUAGGAAAUGGCUAGAGUGUGACGGUACCUUAUGAGAAAGCCACGGCUAACUACGUGCCAGCAGCCGCGGUAAUACGUAGGUGGCGAGCGUUAUCCGGAAUUAUUGGGCGUAAAGAGCGCGCAGGUGGUUGAUUAAGUCUGAUGUGAAAGCCCACGGCUUAACCGUGGAGGGUCAUUGGAAACUGGUCGACUUGAGUGCAGAAGAGGGAAGUGGAAUUCCAUGUGUAGCGGUGAAAUGCGUAGAGAUAUGGAGGAACACCAGUGGCGAAGGCGGCUUCCUGGUCUGUAACUGACACUGAGGCGCGAAAGCGUGGGGAGCAAACA
RNAcentral lists this ribosomal RNA (422 nucleotides) under uncultured bacterium. RNAcentral describes it as "partial 16S ribosomal RNA". It matches the Rfam family "Bacterial small subunit ribosomal RNA", at positions 360 to 774 of the family's 1533-position model. The record is from RNAcentral.